Drosophila mojavensis is the source of this 209-nucleotide long non-coding RNA. RefSeq lists it as uncharacterized. The transcript is spliced from 2 exons. The record is from RefSeq and is a predicted model, not a curated record. Lineage: Eukaryota; Metazoa; Arthropoda; Insecta; Diptera; Drosophilidae.
AUGGGGAUAUCAAAAUAUGGAAAAAUAUAUAAGGAAUGCAGCUCUGAUAUGUAUAUAAGCGAUUCGAUAAAAACAUGAAGAUAUACUUGAUGAAAGCUUUUCUCCAUAAGUUUUUUGUCUCACCUGUGUUGUUGUCUGCUUAACCACUUUGGUCGUAUGCUCCUCGAUGUACUCACUGUGCGAGUAUUGUUCGACGCUUUCGACAGCCU